This 460-nucleotide ribosomal RNA is filed under the name uncultured bacterium. RNAcentral describes it as "partial 16S ribosomal RNA". It matches the Rfam family "Bacterial small subunit ribosomal RNA", at positions 338 to 795 of the family's 1533-position model. The record is from RNAcentral.
CCUACGGGUGGCAGCAGUGAGGAAUAUUGGUCAAUGGACGAGAGUCUGAACCAGCCAAGUAGCGUGAAGGAUGACUGUCCUAUGGGUUGUAAACUUCUUUUAUAUGGGAAUAAAAUGUUCCACGUGUGGGAUUUUGUAUGUACCAUAUGAAUAAGGAUCGGCUAACUCCGUGCCAGCAGCCGCGGUAAUACGGAGGAUCCGAGCGUUAUCCGGAUUUAUUGGGUUUAAAGGGAGCGUAGGUGGAUUGUUAAGUCAGUUGUGAAAGUUUGCGGCUCAACCGUAAAAUUGCAGUUGAAACUGGCAGUCUUGAGUACAGUAGAGGUGGGCGGAAUUCGUGGUGUAGCGGUGAAAUGCUUAGAUAUCACGAAGAACUCCGAUUGCGAAGGCAGUUCACUGGACUGCAACUGACACUGAGGCUCGAAAGUGUGGGUAUCAAACAGGAUUAGAUACCCGUGUAGUC